Molecule: ribosomal RNA, 459 nt
Filed under: uncultured bacterium
Lineage: Bacteria
Description: partial 16S ribosomal RNA
Rfam family: Bacterial small subunit ribosomal RNA
Source: RNAcentral
CCUACGGGUGACAGCAGUGAGGAAUAUUGGUCAAUGGUCGGGAGACUGAACCAGCCAAGCCGCGUGAGGGAGGAAGGUACAGAGUAUCGUAAACCUCUUUUGUCAGGGAACAAAGACUGGGACGCGUCCCCGGAUGAGUGUACCUGAAGAAAAAGCAUCGGCUAACUCCGUGCCAGCAGCCGCGGUAAUACGGAGGAUGCGAGCGUUAUCCGGAUUUAUGGGGUUUAAAGGGUGCGCAGGCGGUCUGUUAAGUCAGAGGUCAAAGCCCGGGGCUCAACCCCGGCCCGCCGUUGAAACUGGCAGUCUCGAGUUGGAGAGAGGUAGGCGGAAUGCGCGGUGUAGCGGUGAAAUGCAUAGAUAUCGCGAAGAACGCCGAGUGCGAAGGCAGCAUGCCGGCUCCACACUGACGCUGAGGCACGAAAGCGUGGGUAUCGAACAGGAUUAGAUACCCCUGUAGUC